UUUACGUGGCUAAGUGGAUAACAUGAUGGGGUCUGAAGCGAACGGUACUGGGUUCGAGUCCCAGAGUGGACA
This 72-nucleotide transfer RNA is filed under the name Schistosoma mansoni. The record is from RNAcentral. Lineage: Eukaryota; Metazoa; Platyhelminthes; Trematoda; Strigeidida; Schistosomatidae.